Molecule: long non-coding RNA, 2650 nt
Organism: Mugil cephalus (flathead mullet)
Lineage: Eukaryota; Metazoa; Chordata; Actinopteri; Mugiliformes; Mugilidae
Exons: 5
Source: RefSeq, a predicted model, not a curated record
GGCGAGUGCGAAGAACGGCGCGGGCUGGAGGGGGGGGCGGUGAGAUCCACCUCCGAGAGAAAUAAUGGGGACGAUAAUAAAACAGGGGGAAAACCCGUUGGAGGGAAGCUGAAUGGAUGGAGCCAGAGACACGUCACGGCCAGCCGCAGCCAUGAAGACCGUGCGGUCCAGCCUCCGGCGACUCAGUUGGUCUCCAUCUCCCGAGCCGCUCGCUUCUCGGUUUUGGAGAACGGACGCCGCAGCGACUCGCAGGCAUCGGCGGAUCCCUGGAGAGACAUUCAUCGGCCUCACAACACGUGGCUUACUCUAGGUCAGAACUUGGCCAAUGCUACUUCGCCUAUGGCUUGAGAGGAUGGGUAGCCUUAGGGGUUGAUUGUUAUCUUUGGUUAUCUAGCUGUAUGAGUGAUGUACAUUCUUCAUAAAGCUAGAUAACCGAAAGUAACAAGAAUCCCAUUACACUCCUGAAAAGGCAUCAAGACCCCAAAUGCACUUCUUUUCAAAAAGAAAAGAAAAAUCUACUUCCAGAAGACCCGUAACAAGAGAGAGAAAAAUGGACAUUUUAAUGAAGGGAGAAUAAUACAACAAAAGGCUACCACACCACUGAAGGAAAGCUGGCAAAAGAAGACUGAAAAACAGAGAAUAAGGAGGAGGAGGGGUUGCUGUUGAUUCUGCCCUCCCUCUCUCCUCGCCCUCCACUGCAUCGCCUCUUCCCUCCUCCUCCUCUUCCCUUCCUCCUCCACUCCAUCCUCAGCAGACUGCCCCUUUUUCCUGUACAGCGAAACGCAGCCCGCGCCACCAUCUUAGAGUAACGCUGGCAUGAAAUGGAAGUGUGAAGACCAGCCAGUGCAGAUAAAUGUUGGGGCUCUAGAAUGGACAGAACACACAAUGGGACGACAGCGGGACUCCUCCUUUAUUGGCUGUUUGCUGCCUUUCAGCGGGAGUAAACAAGGAUGACGGCGCUGCUGUCUGCACAAGAGUCGGUGGUGAUUCCUGCCACUGGGACACUGGUUGUGCCUCUUGUUGCCGUUUGAUGCAUUAUUUGACUCAAAAGCCGACCUGGACUGUUUGUGAACGCCUUUCUUUGGGAAUUUGUGGGUUCGCACAGGAGAUGAUGAGCUCGAGAGUUGGACGAACUAGUCUAUAAAUGUGAUUCUCAUUUUUCUUUUAAUUUUUUAAGGUAGUACUGAUUUAAUUUUUUGUAUUAUUUGUACAUGUGUUUAUAAACAAUAUCGACACAAAGCAAUAUAAUUUGUCUGCGACUAACUUAGACUCUACUAACUGUGGUGGUAUGUGAUGAGUUGUAGCGCACAUUUUGCUCAGUUUCUUUUUUUAUAGUUGCUAGGACUCAAAAGACACACGAAUGUGAGACCCACGGCAGCAGUGAAUAAUACUGCACUGCGAUUGGACAGCUCCAUGUGUCGGCUGACACAAUGGUGAAGGAGUAAGCUGUCGUCUUUAUACUCUAUGCAACAGUUUGUUCUUUUUUGUUGUUUUUUGUUGUUUGUUUUUGGUAAAGCCCUUUUCCACCCUUACCUUUGUUGGGGGCAUCACACUAUAGACAUUCUAUCAGUCAUCUUCAAAAUAUGUUCUUCGAGGAGCCCACAUUCCUACUGUUAAUAUGCUGAAACAGAAAAUACAGUGGGACUGUGUGUGUGUGUGUGUGUGUGUGUGUGUGUGUGUGUGUGUGUGUGUGUGUGUGUGACAGAUGACAGAAUACAUCUGAGUUUCAUCAGUGGACGGAUUGAAUCUCAUAUUUUGCUGCCUUAACAGACUUUGAUCUGACUGUGCAGCCAUGUGCCUGAGCGCACAUGGAGUCUGAGUAAAUAUAAUAUUAAACCAAACAUUUAAUAUUCCUGAUGGUAGGAGUGUGUUUGAUCAGCAAGAAGUAGCUCAUGGCUGUGUGUAUACAGAACAGGCCGCACUAUUAAAACCUGCUUCCCGGUAGGCUUCCAGACACAGCAGUUUGGUUCAUAACGGUUACCUGCUUCACUGUAAUGAUACAUCUUUGGGUGAGACAUUACAAAUAGAUUGGCUUCAAACACUGCCUUAAUUUCCUGUCCUUGACGUUAACACACACAUGCACACACACACAAAUGCAAUAAGGCAAGUACUAUCAGAGCCUAAUUCAUUCUAUAUUAAUUUUCGGGAAGUGGCAAAUUUUUUUAUUACGAUUGAUAAUCUAUGCAAAUCUUUUAAAUAUUACUUUAAACAAUCUAUGUCUAUGCAGUGCUUUUGCAAUUGAUUCAAGGGAGACUAUCUUGGCCUAAUUUAGAAAAUGUAUUUUUUGAUAAUCAUGCACAUCCCAGUGCUCAAGACAAUUACUUAUCUGCCUGGAUAAGCUUGAAAUUAUGUUUUUAAUCUCAAGCAAAAAAAAGUUACUCUUCUGAUAUCAGUCCAGAGGCAUGGGAACCGUGAAUUGUGGUCUAAAAUGAUUAAAGCAGUUGCACAAUUUUUUUUUCUUUUCUUAAAUGCAGAUCAAACAUACUGUAUCUCCUCAGCUUUUGCCUUGCAAAGCCCAUUAUUUUAUAUAAUCAGCAAUGUUUGUGUUACACAAUCUAAUUGCUGUGAAUGAGUGUUCACCACAUGUGCCUUCGUAUGGAAAACUGUGUUGGAAUAGUAAUAAAGGUUUACAUUGAAAACAACGGAAAAA